This is a non-coding RNA of Sus scrofa (pig), 6184 nucleotides long. Lineage: Eukaryota; Metazoa; Chordata; Mammalia; Artiodactyla; Suidae. The record is from RefSeq and is a predicted model, not a curated record.
AUAUAGUAUAGUAUUUGCCUUUCCCUUUCUGACUUUCACUUUUCUUCUUUAUUUUAUCGUCACCAUGUCCUUCCACACAGGGAACUUGCUGUGGGGCUGUGGGCUGCAAGAAGAACAUGACAGGGUGGGUGCAUGGCCACAGAUGGUGUGGCCAGGAGGGCUCUGGAGGGUGCUGAAGGUCCCCACUGCCGGUCACUCGUGCAAGGCCAAGCAUGGCACUUUAUUUCCUGUGAGCUGCUAAGACACAGACUCUCUCACGGAGAGGAGGGGCAGCAUUAUGGAAAUCUGGUGUGUCCAGGACACCGGCUGACCGAGGCAGCGUGCCUGCGUCCGUAGCAGGGUUAACAGUGAGGGUGAAUCAAGGUUGAGCCUGUGUACGGGAAGCUCCCUUGGAAAUCGUGUCUGAAAGUAUCAAAGUGGAUGAUGUGUUCCCAAGGGCAUCUGAUGCAGUAACGGCUGAAGAAUCUGAGGAAGAGACUGUUCUGCCAGCAGUCUGCUCCCUGGCUCUUCCCAGCACUGGCCACCUCCCCCAGACAGGGGUGGGUACUUGAUGACAGCCAGCAACGGACACCUCGGGGCCUGGGCUCCUUGGAGGACUUGCUGGAGGAGAUCUGCUAGGUCAACGUGAGCCUGAGGGCUGGAACCUGCUCGUCAUAGGGGCCUCAACAGCCGCCCUGUGUGUUGCCGAUGAGGCGGGGUGAGGACCAUGUGUUUUGGGAAAUGGAGGGUGAGGCUGAGGACUGCCUGCUUCUCAGAAGUGCAAUGGACUUAGCGUGCAAGUGGCAGAACCAGCUUCCAUUUCUAGACAAGAUUUUAUGACUGGGUGGCGAGACACUGGGCCCCGUCUGGAUGGGUGCUGUGACCCUGUCUGGAGACGGUAUCCGUUUGCCUGCUCCGGGAAUUGAGGCACGAACCUCCAUGGGGACCCAGAAUGUGACUUGUCAUGUGCUUUUUAAUACCCAGGAGUUCUGUGAUUAGUAGGCAUCGACAGGAAUGCCAACUUCAGAUAAGAAGAGCUGCCGCAAACCCAACCAGAAUUGGAGAUGGAGGUUUCAGGGGAGCCUUUUUCCCUGUAAGAGCAUCAUGAUAUGAAUUCUUCUGCGUUGCUGCGGUGAAUCGGUGCCAACACAUGCCCAGCAUUGCCUGCGAGCUGGAAGCCGCAGGGGGUGGCUAUUCUGCAGUCAGCUGCCUUCAGGGGCGGGCCUCGUGGUCCAGGAGUUCAUGGCUUCCCGGGAAAUCAGGCAGUCCUGCGUUGCUGUGCAUAGGCCAUUCGUGACUCUUGAAACGUUUAAAUAUGUCAUCCUAGAAAAGAAACAUACCCUGUGUUCCCCAGUGAGUGAGCAUUUCUGAGAUGGCAUCAUGGUUCUUUUAAAAGCUGAAAAUGAUCAAGUGCCCUGAGAAGACAUGAGUGGAUAGAAGGUUAUCUGUUCCCUUUCCUGUAUGUACCAACUACAAACCUGAGGACAGACUUCAAGGGAAAACUUGGAACAAUACCCACUUUCUAAAAAUACAGAGAGGAAGAGAGAAGAGCCCUAGCCCAGUAUCCUCUUUCUUGGUGGAUCUGAGCAUCUUAAUUAAACAAGUCUAAAAUUUAUCUCCGCUCUGCCAAGCCCACGAGACUUGUUCCUUCUGGAAUCCAUAUGGGUGGAGUUCCAGCUGUCAAGAUGAUGUCACCCAACACAGAGGUGAAAAGAGGUAGGCAAUCGUCACCAUCAUAAAGUGUUCUGCCAUAGACACAAAUAACCUGAGGAUCACAGAUGACCCAGCGUGGUGAAAUAGAGGGGGUGAACAGAGUUUCCUGGAAUGGAAUGGUCCCCCCAGGCUGGGCCAGGACUGUUAGGGCAGCGUCCAGAUUUCAGCCGAGUGCACAGGAAGCAGCGUGGAAGCCUGAUGCAGGAUCUGCCAGGGCCACAGCAGGUUUACACCCCCCAGGGAUGGGAGACACAAAAAGACCCCUGCUGACUGGUGAGCUUCCAUUUGUGUUCUGACAACAAGGAGGAAGUGACAGAAAUGACAGCCAAUCAUGGGAUAAAAACCUCAUGAAAAGGAUAAAUUGGAGCAUCUAAGCCUGGGGAAGACAAUGAAAGAAAAACCAUGACUUGUCCCCAGAGACAAUGGCCUCCCUUCUCCAGGCACCUGGAGGCAGAGGACACUUUCAAUCAUCGCCCAAGGCUUCGGAGAAAGGCAAUGGGGUGAUUCACCCAGAAACCGUGGGUACAAGCACGUAAACACAUCAGCACCGGAACCACACACCUAGUUCUCAUUCAUUGAUGGCUGGCAGUAUUGUAAGAGGCGCCACUCGAUAUUUCUUUUUCAAAAGCCUAGCCCUAUUAAAAAAUAAAAUAAAAAGUAGAAAAGUAGAUUAAGGAAGCAGUAGGAUGCCUCAUGGGCUGUGAAUGAAAUGGGGGCAGUAAUCCUUUCGUAACUGGGUGCAAUGUCAGACACACACUCAUGAUUGGUGUGUAGGUGUUUGAGAUACAUGUCAAUUUCUCCUGAGCUAUUUAUUGAUGUUAAUGAGAGCAUUUCAAUAGGGAUGAAUGAUGAACUCGAGGAGGUUUUGAGGAUGGUUUAAAACCUAACAGAGAGGUUUUGGUUGUCCAUGGCUGCCUAACAAACCUCAGUGGCUUUAAAAUGGCAACCCUUUAUUCUGUCAUAAUCUCUGGGGGUCAGGGAUCCAGGUGUGUCUUCAAUGAGUGGAUCCUGCUUAGGGUCUCAGAAGCUGCAAUCUGGGUGUUGGAGGGUCAGCAGUUUUCUCACAACUAGAGAGAAAGGGGAGGCUCUCCUUCCAAGGGCACUGCCAUGGCUGUGGGCGGGAUUCAGGUCUUUGCACAUGCUGGGUUGAAGGCUUCCGCUCUUUGCUGGCUGGAGCUGUCAGUUCUCAGCUAAAGAGCCUCUCAUGGGGCAGCUCACAUCAGGGCAGCAGGCUUCCUGCAGAGCAAGUGAGUAAAAUGCAAGAGAGGGUGAGUGAGACAGAACGCAGUGUCCUUGGUACCCUAACCAUGAGCAGUGACAUCCAUCCCAUCCCUUCUUGGAGGUAAGUCACUAGGUCCAGUCCUCACUCAAGGAGAGGGGAUCACUCAGGGUCGUGGAUUCCAGCUGGCCUUGGGGUCCCUUUUAGAGGCUGCCUACCACCAUCAAGAUGAAGAAGGAUAUUGUUUCCAACAUCCUUGGAAACAAAGGCUCACAGUGAGGUUUAGUAGGUGGAAUGCACCUUGGGACUUAGCUUCCCCCUUUUCCGACAAGGCAUGUCCCCAUGAAUGUGGGGGUCGCAGGGGCAGCAGGAUGUUGGGGCAGGUCUAGGUUCCUAUCAGCAGGGUCCUCCUGAAGGAGCCCUGACCUGACCAAAGUGAAGUCCUCUCUAUGGUGAUCAGGGGAAAAUGCAUGUGUUUGUCUCCAUCAGAAGCUGACAUCUCUGGUCUCCAAGGGUGGCUGGGGCUUGCUUCAGGGGAAGAGGUUCAAGACAUGGGAGGGAAGGGGGAGAUGUUCAGAGCCCACCUUCUCCAGGGUCAGCUCCGGGAGAGAGGCACCCAUUUCCUUGUGCUCUGUGACUGGGCAGCAUGGCCAGGAAGAGACGGACUUGCCUGCCCCAGGUUUUUAAGUAAGAAGCCACAGCUGCUGAAGGCUACUGUAAGCCAGGCACAGGCCAAGUACUUUUGCUGCGUCACCUCUCUCACCUCUCACAAGAGCUCUAUGGAGGAGGUGCUCUUUUUACCUCAAGUUUUAAAUCUGGGAAAAUUGAGGCUCCAGGAUUGAGUCAUUGGCCAGAGGGCCUGGACCUGUGGAUGGAAGAACCUGGAUUUCAUGGCUUGUCUGGAUCCACGUCUCUGCUUAAAAACUUCCAAGGCACAUUCCAGAGAGGUCACUAGAUGGGCCAUUUCAGAAACUGGUUGUUGCUUAAUAUUAGACGGUCAGUGGUGAAGGCCAGGUUGAUGUACAGCCUCCCAGCUUCUCCAAGGGCUGUGCUCUGCUGCAGCAAGUGGCCGAGUUAGCUAACGCUGUGACUCUGGCUGAAGGACCCCGAUUCUAGAGCAUUAGGGGAUGUCCAGGGAGAGGGGUAAGAGGUGCAAGGCUGGAGUGGCCCUCUUGGGAUCCCAGAGAUUUCUACAGAGAGGCGCCCUUCCCGGUAAGCUGUUGUACCUGAUUCUCACCUCUGGUUAGUCCCAGUGGUGCUCCGAGGGCUGUGGAAGCCCCGAUUCACAUGCUCCAGCAGGUACGUCCUUCAACACAUCACCACACUGGACAAAUGUGAAACACACUCAGAGCAGAUGUACCUAUGACCUGGUUACAGUGUUAUAGGAAAGGGUUGCUGGAGGUUUAAGGGACUGCUGUGGCUUACCUUUAUGCAACAGAAAGUCUUCUUUUGUAGCUCGCAAUUCCCAGUCCAGAAGCACGGCCAAACUGGGACACUGUAUGAACACUGCCUAAAGGGUGCAAAUACCAUUGACCUGAUUUUCAUCUUCUGUGGUCCUUAUGAUAUUUACACCACAGGGAUAGUCUCUCCACACCCCUGGGGGAAAAUCUGGCCAACCCCAUUCCCUCUCACCUCAUGGACAGCCUUAGAGUAGGUGGAGGUUUAGUAGGUGGAAUGCAUCUUGGGACUUAGCUUCCCCCAAACCUAAGGUUUCAGUGUCUUAACUCACAUCCUAGGGUGUCCCCCCUCAGACUGGAAUCAAUCCUCCCCUCCCCCUCCAUCCACACACCUGGUGCUGUGGGCCUGCUGCUGGCACAAGGAGCCAUAUACCUCCCCUUUUCCCUCCUUUUUCUCUUUCCUCUAUCCCACUUUGCAGUUUUGGACACUUCAGGCUGAGCCUGCAGAAGGGGAGAAAGGGAAGAAAACACGGUCUGAUGUGAGGGUUCAUCCUCCGCCUGCCGAGUGGGCCUCUCAGGAGGGGAUGGUUGGGAUUUUCUCUGAGGCACUUUCUGUGGUUCUGCCAGUGAUGUUCAACUCCUGGGCUCUGCAGCUGUGGUUUUCAGGGUAGGGCGGGGCUGCUCCUCGGCUGGCAGCUGCUCUCCCCCAAGGCCCCGCUCUGCCAGGUGUCCACUGAGCUUGCUCUCUCUUGCCUUCAGUGGACUGGACCCUUUGAAGGUGAUCCUUCUAAGGCAACCUAAGGCAUCUCCAGACAGGCCUUCUCUCCCCCAAGUGUCCCACCAGUGCCUUUCCACCAGGAGCACUCAGAUCCUGUGACCUGCCCUAGCAGGAGAGAAUGGUUACCUGCUGUGGCGGCAGCAUCUGGGGUGACCCCAGAGAAUCUUGCCUCCUGGAACUCACACCCUUGGGAAAACCCCUCCCUCUGAGCAUAGACUGGACCUAGUGACUAACUUCUAACCAACAGAAUGUAGCCAAAAUGAUAGGAUGCUAUUUCUUAGAUCUAAGAGUUACAGAAAAUCUGUGACUUCAAAUUUUUUUCAUUUUUCUCUGGAGAUUCAUCCACAUUUUUUUCUAUAUCUAUAAUCCCUCCCUUUUUGUCCUUGAGUGCUGUUCCAUGGUAUGGAAGGACCAUAGUUUAUUUAAUUAUUCCCCCAAUGAAGGACAUCAGAGUUUUUCCCAGGUUGGAGCUAUUAAAAGUGAAAUGGCAUGAUCAUUCACGUACAAAUUUCUGGUGAAUUGAAAUCUUCAUUUCUUUGAAAUAAAUGCCCAGAAGUGUAAAUUCUGGGCCAUAUGAUAGUGACACGAUUUUUUUAAAGACAAAAAUUUUAGAAUGGUCUUCUAUUUUAUAUCCCCACCAGCGAUGCAUGAGUGACCCAGUUUUUCUGCAUCUUCACCUAAAUGUGGUGGUGUCACCAUUAACAAACAAACAAACAAACAAAAAACCCUCUGGUGGUUGUGUAGUGAUAUCUUAUUGUGACUUUAAGGUGCAUUUCCCUAAAAGUUAGUGUUCAAUAUCUUUUCAUACGCUUAUUUGAUACCCAUUUCCUCUCUUUUGUUAAAAGUCUCUUCAUUUCUUCUGCCCAUUUUCUAAGGAUGUUUUAGUUGCUCAAUGGUUGUGAUAGUUCUUUAUAUAGUCUAGAUAUUAGCUCUUAAUUUGCAAAUAUUUUUUCCCAGUCUGUAGUUGGUCUUCUCAUUCACUUAUGAAGGUCAUUUGCAGAGCAAAAGUUUUUAAUUUUGAUGGAAUCCAAUUGAACAAUUUUUCCUUUUUUGCAGCAUGCUUCAGUGUAAAGUCUUAAGAAAUUUUUGCCUAGCCUU